Molecule: long non-coding RNA, 1336 nt
Organism: Centropristis striata (black sea bass)
Lineage: Eukaryota; Metazoa; Chordata; Actinopteri; Perciformes; Serranidae
Exons: 3
Source: RefSeq, a predicted model, not a curated record
AAGGACAUAACACCGGCUAGUUUUGACCAAAGUCGUUAAUUGGUUCGCUUAAAACGUUAGCUACGGCAACAACGUUAGCAAACGUAGGUCCAAGAGACGUUGGCUCUGAAGACGAAGAGGAUGAUGGAGAAGAGGAGCGCACACCAGUGUUGGAGAGGACAUCUAUGAAAGUACAGAGGUCACCAAUGAUGAUCUCAGAGAGCUAAGAGACCUUGCACCUGAUGCAGCUAUCCUGACCAGUAUGGACCUCAGUGACACAGACUCUGCAUCCGAAUCGGACAAUGAAUCAACCCUAUCACAUCUGUUAAUGACAAACCUUUAAAGGGCCUCCCACUACAUGCUCUAAAGCUGUGUCAAGGUGUUUCAGAGGCUUAGAAACUGUUGAUCAAUGUGAAACCCUUGAGCUUACUACCAGGGAGCAGUCAAAAUGCAGGGCCUGGCACACACACAGAGAAGGUCGAAUAACAAGCACAAACUUCCACCAUUUGUGCAGAGCUGGAGAGCCUACAGACACCGACAUUAAAAACAACAUGUGAUAUGAGACAGAGGAUCUACAAGUUGUGGCCGUACUCUGAAAUGGAGGAUACAGCUAGAAAAUGCUACAUUGAAGAAAUCAGUAAAGGCCACUCUAAUUUCGCUGCUAAACUUUCUGGGCUUGUUGUUUGCCCAGCCCUCUUCAAUUUGGGUGCAUCCCCAGAUGAGGAUGUCAUAUUGUGAGAUAUGAAGACUUCCUGCCAAGAGCUGUGCCCACGGCUGAACAACUCUUCCUGAACCAUCUUCCGCCAGAGCUGCUGACCCCGUGCAUGGAUUCCAGCCUCUUAGAAGAACACACUCUGUACUGUCUACACUGUUACAGGCCAGACUAUAGCAAGAUGAUUCACUGUGCCAAGUGCAGAAGUCGUUUCAACUAUGAGUGUGUUGAGAUCAAACGAAGGCCAUCUACAUGGCUUUGCAAACAGUGCAAUACCGGAAAGGUAAUAAAGCUCUGGAUAUGAAUUGUGUAUAUUUAGUACUAAGAAUUUUGUAUAUAUAGUAGUAUGGAUUUUGUAUAUUUAGCAGUAUGAAUAGUAUGGGUUUUGAAUAUUUAGUAAUAUGAAAAGUAUGAAUUUUGUAUAUUUAGUAGUUUAAAUAGUAUGAAUUUUGUAUGUUUCCACCCGUCGUUUUCCUUUGAAAAAUGGUUACUAAAAACUGAAACAUUAAACAUGUACAUUUUAAAAGUUUAAUACGUUUGUCUACUCACACUGCAUAUGAGCAAUUACAUUCAUUGUUAAAGAAAAAAAAUACAGCCUGGUGAAUUUUGGAAUAAAAAAAUCUUCAUUUUUGAACAUGUUAAAAA